UGGGGAAUCUUGCGCAAUGGGCGAAAGCCUGACGCAGCAACGCCGCGUGAGCGAAGAAGGCCUUCGGGUUGUAAAGCUCUGUCAGGGGGAAAGAAGGCACCUGGGUUAAUAGCCCAAGGGCUGACGGUACCUCCAAAGGAAGCCACGGCUAACUACGUGCCAGCAGCCGCGGUAAUACGUAGGUGGCAAGCGUUGUCCGGAAUCAUUGGGCGUAAAGAGCGCGUAGGUGGCUUGUCAGGUCUGAUGUGAAAACCUGGGGCUCAACUCCAGGCCUGCAUCAGAAACCGGCUUGCUAGAGUCUGGGAGAGGAGAGUGGAAUUCCUGGUGUAGCGGUGAAAUGCGUAGAUAUCAGGAGGAACACCGGUAGCGAAGGCGGCUCUCUGGAACAGUACUGACGCUGAGGCGCGAAAGCUAGGGGAGCGAACAG
RNAcentral lists this ribosomal RNA (427 nucleotides) under uncultured bacterium. RNAcentral's name for it is "bacterial SSU rRNA". It matches the Rfam family "Bacterial small subunit ribosomal RNA", at positions 355 to 775 of the family's 1533-position model. The record is from RNAcentral.